AGUGAACGCUGGCGGCGUGCUUAACACAUGCAAGUCGAACGAGAACGGAAUAUAGCUUGCUAUAUUUGUCAGCUAAGUGGCGCACGGGUGAGUCGUGUAUAGAUAACCUGCCCUUAAGAAAGGAAUAACAGUUGGAAACGACUGCUAAUGCCCUAUAUGCCUUUAAUACAUAAGUAUGCAAGGGAAACGCUUUAGUGCUUAAGGAUGGGUCUGUGUGGUAUCAGCUUGUUGGUGAGGUAAUGGCUCACCAAGGCUAUGACGCCUAACUGGUUUGAGAGGAUGAUCAGUCACACUGGAACUGAGACACGGUCCAGACUCCUACGGGAGGCAGCAGUGGGGAAUAUUGCACAAUGGACGAAAGUCUGAUGCAGCAACGCCGCGUGGAGGAUGACACAUUUCGGUGCGUAAACUCCUUUUAUAUAGGAAGAUAAUGACGGUACUAUAUGAAUAAGCACCGGCUAACUCCGUGCCAGCCGCCGCGGUAA
This 485-nucleotide ribosomal RNA is filed under the name uncultured bacterium. Its description in RNAcentral is "partial 16S ribosomal RNA". It matches the Rfam family "Bacterial small subunit ribosomal RNA", at positions 29 to 523 of the family's 1533-position model. The record is from RNAcentral.